CAGGCUUAACACAUGCAAGUCGAGGGGCAGCAUGGUCUUAGCUUGCUAAGGCCGAUGGCGACCGGCGCACGGGUGAGUAACACGUAUCCAACCUGCCGUCUACUCUUGGACAGCCUUCUGAAAGGAAGAUUAAUACAAGAUGGCAUCAUGAGUCCGCAUGUUCACAUGAUUAAAGGUAUUCCGGUAGACGAUGGGGAUGCGUUCCAUUAGAUAGUAGGCGGGGUAACGGCCCACCUAGUCUUCGAUGGAUAGGGGUUCUGAGAGGAAGGUCCCCCACAUUGGAACUGAGACACGGUCCAAACUCCUACGGGAGGCAGCAGUGAGGAAUAUUGGUCAAUGGGCGAGAGCCUGAACCAGCCAAGUAGCGUGAAGGAUGACUGCCCUAUGGGUUGUAAACUUCUUUUAUAAAGGAAUAAAGUCGGGUAUGCAUACCCGUUUGCAUGUACUUUAUGAAUAAGGAUCGGCUAACUCCGUGCCAGCAGCCGCGGUAAUACGGAGGAUCCGAGCGUUAUCCGGAUUUAUUGGGUUUAAAGGGAGCGUAGAUGGAUGUUUAAGUCAGUUGUGAAAGUUUGCGGCUCAACCGUAAAAUUGCAGUUGAUACUGGAUAUCUUGAGUGCAGUUGAGGCAGGCGGAAUUCGUGGUGUAGCGGUGAAAUGCUUAGAUAUCACGAAGAACUCCGAUUGCGAAGGCAGCCUGCUAAGCUGCAACUGACAUUGAGGCUCGAAAGUGUGGGUAUCAAACAGGAUUAGAUACCCUGGUAGUCCACACGGUAAACGAUGAAUACUCGCUGUUUGCGAUAUACGGCAAGCGGCCAAGCGAAAGCGUUAAGUAUUCCACCUGGGGAGUACGCCGGCAACGGUGAAACUCAAAGGAAUUGACGGGGGCCCGCACAAGCGGAGGAACAUGUGGUUUAAUUCGAUGAUACGCGAGGAACCUUACCCGGGCUUAAAUUGCAGAUGAAUUACGGUGAAAGCCGUAAGCCGCAAGGCAUCUGUGAAGGUGCUGCAUGGUUGUCGUCAGCUCGUGCCGUGAGGUGUCGGCUUAAGUGCCAUAACGAGCGCAACCCUUGUUGUCAGUUACUAACAGGUCAUGCUGAGGACUCUGACAAGACUGCCAUCGUAAGAUGUGAGGAAGGUGGGGAUGACGUCAAAUCAGCACGGCCCUUACGUCCGGGGCUACACACGUGUUACAAUGGGGGGGUACAGAGGGCCGCUACCACGCGAGUGGAUGCCAAUCCCCAAAACCUCUCUCAGUUCGGACCGGAGUCUGCAACCCGACUCCACGAAGCUGGAUUCGCUAGUAAUCGCGCAUCAGCCACGGCGCGGUGAAUACGUUCCCGGGCCUUGUACACACCGCCCGUCAAGCCAUGGGAGCCGGGGGUACCUGAAGUGCGUAACCGCGAGGAGCGCCCUAAGGUAAAACCGGUGACUGGGGCUAAGUCG
Molecule: ribosomal RNA, 1442 nt
Filed under: uncultured organism
Description: SSU rRNA
Rfam family: Bacterial small subunit ribosomal RNA
Source: RNAcentral